AGAGUUUGAUCCGUGGCUCGAGGACGAACGCUGGCGGCGCGCCUAACACAUGCAAGUCGAACGGAGCUGAGUGGAGCUUGCUCUUCUCAGCUUAGUGGCGAACGGGUGAGUAACGCGUGAGUAACCUGCCCUGGAGUGGGGGACAACAGUUGGAAACGACUGCUAAUACCGCAUAAGCCCACGGAUCCGCAUGGAUCUGCGGGAAAAGGAUUUAUUCGCUUCAGGAUGGACUCGCGUCCAAUUAGCUAGUUGGUGAGGUAACGGCCCACCAAGGCGACGAUUGGUAGCCGGACUGAGAGGUUGAACGGCCACAUUGGGACUGAGACACGGCCCAGACUCCUACGGGAGGCAGCAGGUGGGGGAUAUUGCGCAAUGGGGAAACCCUGAUGCAGCGACGCCGCGUAGAGGAAGAAGGUUUUCGGAUUGUAAACUCCUGUCGUUAGGGACGAUAAUGACGGUACCUAACAAGAAAGCACCGGCUAACUACGUG
Molecule: ribosomal RNA, 490 nt
Filed under: uncultured bacterium
Lineage: Bacteria
Description: bacterial SSU rRNA
Rfam family: Bacterial small subunit ribosomal RNA
Source: RNAcentral